Molecule: transfer RNA, 63 nt
Filed under: Craugastor chac (Chac's rainfrog)
Lineage: Eukaryota; Metazoa; Chordata; Amphibia; Anura; Craugastoridae
Description: tRNA-Cys
Source: RNAcentral
GGCCCCGGGGUGUCACAUGUGGGAUUGCAACUCCCGAGAAGCAGAAGAAUUUCUGCCGGGGCU